Homo sapiens (human) is the source of this 192-nucleotide long non-coding RNA. RefSeq annotates it as testis expressed transcript, Y-linked 16. The transcript is spliced from 2 exons. The record is from RefSeq and is marked provisional. Lineage: Eukaryota; Metazoa; Chordata; Mammalia; Primates; Hominidae.
GAGUGUGGAUUAUGCCCUGGCCAUGUCCUCAUGUUUCCCAACGGCUGGGAGUCAGAAAUUGAGUGACCUGGGAGCACCUUUGUUGUGCCAUCUAUAGCAAAAAGACACUUGGGUGCAAGUGGGAAUCUUGAGUCACUUUGAGGAGCAUUGCACAAAGCCCUAUGUCUUCAGCCAAGUGCACCCUUUCCUUUU